RNAcentral lists this ribosomal RNA (464 nucleotides) under uncultured bacterium. RNAcentral's name for it is "bacterial SSU rRNA". It matches the Rfam family "Bacterial small subunit ribosomal RNA", at positions 28 to 490 of the family's 1533-position model. The record is from RNAcentral.
GAUGAACGCUGGCGGCGUGCUUAACACAUGCAAGUCGAACGGGACUCAUAGGAUCAAGGAUUCGUCCAAGUGAAUAUGAGUUUAGUGGCGGACGGGUGAGUAACGCGUGAGGAACCUGCCUCGGAGUGGGGAAUAACAGUUGGAAACAGCUGCUAAUACCGCAUGAUGCAUAUUGAUCGCAUGGUCGAUGUGCCAAAGAUUUAUCGCUCUGAGAUGGCCUCGCGUCUGAUUAGCUAGUUGGCGGGGUAACGGCCCACCAAGGCGACGAUCAGUAGCCGGACUGAGAGGUUGGCCGGCCACAUUGGGACUGAGACACGGCCCAGACUCCUACGGGAGGCAGCAGUGGGGAAUAGUUGGGCAAGUGGGCGCAAGCCUGACCCAGCAACGCCGCGUGAAGGAAGAAGGCUUUCGGGUUGUAAACUUCUUUUGUCAGGGACGAAUAAAUGACGGUACUGACGAAUAAG